CAGCAGGCGCGAAAACUUUACACUGCGCGAAAGCGCGAUAAGGGGACCUCGAGUGCGUGCGCAAUGCGUACGCUUUUCAGAUGCCUAAAAAGCAUGUGGAAUAAGGGCCGGGCAAGACCGGUGCCAGCCGCCGCGGUAACACCGGCGGCUCAAGUGGUGGCCGCUAUUAUUGGGCUUAAAGGGUCCGUAGCCGGACCAGUUAGUCCCUUGGGAAAUCUUACGGCUUAACCGUAAGGCUGCCAAUGGAUACUGC
RNAcentral lists this ribosomal RNA (253 nucleotides) under uncultured methanogenic archaeon. RNAcentral describes it as "partial 16S ribosomal RNA". It matches the Rfam family "Archaeal small subunit ribosomal RNA", at positions 333 to 587 of the family's 1478-position model. Lineage: Archaea; Methanobacteriati; Methanobacteriota. The record is from RNAcentral.